RNAcentral lists this ribosomal RNA (494 nucleotides) under uncultured Desulfobulbus sp. Its description in RNAcentral is "bacterial SSU rRNA". It matches the Rfam family "Bacterial small subunit ribosomal RNA", at positions 888 to 1382 of the family's 1533-position model. Lineage: Bacteria; Pseudomonadati; Thermodesulfobacteriota; Desulfobulbia; Desulfobulbales; Desulfobulbaceae. The record is from RNAcentral.
CCCGCUCAGAAACUCAAAGGAAUUGACGGGGGCCCGCACAAGCGGUGGAGCAUGUGGUUUAAUUCGAAGCAACGCGAAGAACCUUACCAGGCCUUGACAUGCAGAGAACUUUCCAGAGAUGGAUUGGUGCCUUCGGGAACUCUGACACAGGUGCUGCAUGGCUGUCAUCAGCUCGUGUCGUGAGAUGUUGGGUUAAGUCCCGCAACGAGCGCAACCCUUGCCUUUAGUUGCCAGCAGUUCGGCUGGGCACUCUAAAGGGACUGCCGGUGUUAAACCGGAGGAAGGUGGGGAUGACGUCAAGUCCUCAUGGCCUUUAUGACCAGGGCUACACGCGUACUACAAUGGCCGAUACAAAGGGCAGCGACACUGCGAGGUGAAGCCAAUCCCGUAAAAUCGGUCUCAGUCCGGAUUGGAGUCUGCAACUCGACUCCAUGAAGUUGGAAUCGCUAGUAAUCGUGGAUCAGCAUGCCACGGUGAAUACGUUCCCGGGCCUU